UGGGGAAUAUUGGACAAUGGGCGCAAGCCUGAUCCAGCCAUGCCGCGUGAGUGAUGAAGGCCCUAGGGUUGUAAAGCUCUUUCACCGGUGAAGAUAAUGACGGUAACCGGAGAAGAAGCCCCGGCUAACUUCGUGCCAGCAGCCGCGGUAAUACGAAGGGGGCUAGCGUUGUUCGGAUUUACUGGGCGUAAAGCGCACGUAGGCGGACUAUUAAGUCAGGGGUGAAAUCCCGGGGCUCAACCCCGGAACUGCCUUUGAUACUGGUAGUCUUGAGUUCGAGAGAGGUGAGUGAAUUCCGAGUGUAGAGGUGAAAUUCGUAGAUAUUCGGAGGAACACCAGUGGCGAAGGCGGCUCACUGGCUCGAUACUGACGCUGAGGUGCGAAAGCGUGGGGAGCAAACAGG
RNAcentral lists this ribosomal RNA (403 nucleotides) under Actinomycetes bacterium. RNAcentral describes it as "Actinobacteria bacterium partial 16S ribosomal RNA". It matches the Rfam family "Bacterial small subunit ribosomal RNA", at positions 355 to 776 of the family's 1533-position model. The record is from RNAcentral. Lineage: Bacteria; Bacillati; Actinomycetota; Actinomycetes.